UACAGAGGGUGCGAGCGUUAAUCGGAAUUACUGGGCGUAAAGCGUGCGUAGACGGUAGCGUAAGUCAGAUGUGAAAGCCCCGGGCUCAACCUGGGAACUGCAUUUGAGACUGCUCUGCUCGGGUGCGGAAGAGGGAAGCGGAAUUUCCGGUGUAGCGGUGAAAUGCGUAGAUAUCGGAAGGAACACCAGUGGCGAAAGCGGCUUCCUGGUCCAGCACCGACGUCAGGCACGAAAGCGUGGGGAGCAAACAGG
Molecule: ribosomal RNA, 252 nt
Filed under: uncultured bacterium
Lineage: Bacteria
Description: partial 16S ribosomal RNA
Rfam family: Bacterial small subunit ribosomal RNA
Source: RNAcentral